CUUUGACAUCAUCCCAACUGCAAGAUGACACAUUUAUAGAUAAAAGCAUUGGGUUUGGGGCUUUGUGUAGCAGCAGACAAAGGCUAAUGUUAGUAAUUCUAAUGAAAAAGAAGCUUUCUGAUUUGUGGCCCAGAUCUGACUGAGAAUCCUUACAACAAAUGUCAGGGAUGGAUCACAAAGAGGACCGGUUCCUCCCCUGGGAUGCCAUUCCCACCAGCCAACAAAGAAAUUAUUGCCUUCAAAGGCCACUCAAAGCCUUCUCUCCCAAUCACUCUGACCCCCAAGGACCCUUCUGUCCCUGGACUCCUAGAGCAUUCAGUUGGAACCAAUUUUUAAUGUUGUAAUAUUCUGUAUUUCAGCAUUGUGUGCUUCCUGGGCACUCCUCCUCUGUCUCCUGAAUUGAACUCUGGGCUCUUUGAGAACAGAAAACACAUUAAUAUUUAUUGUAUAAUCCUCACAGUGCACAACACAGCUCUUGACACAGGAUAACUGCUCAAUAAAUACAUGUGGAUUGAUUAUCACUGGGAGAGGAAAACUCCACACAGCAUUACUUUAUUUGUGACGAGGCAGUCCUCAUAUCCUUGUACAAGGACAAAAUUUUAGUAAUGGCAUACUGAAAAUGAUCUGCAUUCAGUGUCAAACAAUCUGAAAAGGUAGCCUAUCAACAACUUCCUGCACUCAUUCCUUCAGCAUUUGACAUAUCAUUUUGUUUUCCAAGCAGUCAAGCA
This 728-nucleotide long non-coding RNA is filed under the name Marmota monax (woodchuck). The record is from RNAcentral. Lineage: Eukaryota; Metazoa; Chordata; Mammalia; Rodentia; Sciuridae.